UAAUAUCCCAACAAAUAUCACAGGAAGGUCUGUGGUUAAGGGAUCAGUCAAGAAAGAAGAGCCAUGAUCAGGCAGAGUGGGGAAGCUCCCUGAGAAUGGAGAAUCACAGAAGCCAAGGACGAGUGUUCACCGAGGAGAGUUUGAUCAACUAUGUCAAAUGCUACAGAGUGGCUAAGUAAGAUAAAGUCUGAAAAGUGUUCAUCUGACCCGGUGUAAUUUCAAGCCAAGAAGACAAGCCUUGAUCCAAAAGUAGUGUCUCAGCAGAGUUUUGAUUCACUCUAGACUAGAGCUCACCAGCUUUUUACAAUAGCAACCAAUUCUUCACAUUUCUUAUUAUUCUCAGAUGAAAUAUACCACUCAGUCACAGAGAUCCAAGUGUCUUCAGCUUCAAUGUAUUAAGGACAAAUCUGAAAACGGAACUUUCCUAAACAAAAAGGGCUUGGAGUAUUUUUGUUUUUCUUCCUCUAUCAAGUAGUGAGCCAAUACUCGGGCAGCCUUUACUCAGGAAUGUAAGAAAUUCAUGCUCUCUUCAGGGUGCGGUAUUCCAGACAGCUUUCCUGCUGUGUGUCCUUGAAGUGAAGGUCAAACAGAGUUCACGGGAAAUGUAAAUUAAACAAGUGUUUCUACAUUAGCAUUUGUUUUAUUCCAGAAAUAUCCAUUUUUAAUGAAGAAAAUGUCUCUUCAACUUUGCUUUUAAAAGAUAUUGUGGACAAUUUUAUUAUUCACUUUGAUGUGAUCUUUGAUUUAGAGUUGUAUAAGACAUACUCAGUAUUAUUUGCGAUAUCUCAAUUGGAAAAAUAAAAUGUGAUCGUCCCAGAAGUUUCAAAGCUUGCCAUAAAUAUCUCCCCAUCAUUUAGCUAAUUUUGAAGACUUAAAAUGUAUAAGCGGUCUCUACACAAUUGCACAUCAGUUCAAGCAACUGCAUUAGCACAGGAGUGCCGAGUCGUUCCAAAGAGAGAAGAGUGAGCCAAUAGCUACAGCUGGCAGCCAGGGAAGGGAAAAUGUGCUCUGAGCACUCAGUGAGUCACCCAAACAGACAGGAGGAAGCAUGUGCCAAUUGAGCCUGGAGGCUGCGCCAGAGCUCACACACUCAGCAAGGUCAGGAUUUGAAUAGAAGCUCUCUCACUCUUUCCACCGCCAGACUGUACCAAAUAAUGACUACUCCUGAAGCCUGGGUUCCAGCAGGAGAAGACACAUGGAGUGGAGCUGGGCAGAUGUCCAGCAGCCAUAGCCAACUCAUAGCCAAAGACCAC
Equus caballus (horse) is the source of this 1253-nucleotide long non-coding RNA. RefSeq lists it as uncharacterized. The record is from RefSeq and is a predicted model, not a curated record. Lineage: Eukaryota; Metazoa; Chordata; Mammalia; Perissodactyla; Equidae.